UACGUAGGUGGCAAGCGUUUGUCCGGAAUUAUUGGGCGUAAAGCGCGCGCAGGCGGUCCUUUAAGUCUGAUGUGAAAGCCCACGGCUCGACCGUGGAGGGUCAUUGGAAACUGGGGGACUUGAGUGCAGAAGAGGAAAGCGGAAUUCCACGUGUAGCGGUGAAAUGCGUAGAGAUGUGGAGGAACACCAGUGGCGAAGGCGGCUUUCUGGUCUGUAACUGACGCUGAGGCGCGAAAGCGUGGGGAGCAAACAGG
RNAcentral lists this ribosomal RNA (254 nucleotides) under uncultured bacterium. RNAcentral's name for it is "partial 16S ribosomal RNA". It matches the Rfam family "Bacterial small subunit ribosomal RNA", at positions 524 to 776 of the family's 1533-position model. The record is from RNAcentral.